Molecule: transfer RNA, 54 nt
Filed under: Odorrana nasica (long-snout torrent frog)
Lineage: Eukaryota; Metazoa; Chordata; Amphibia; Anura; Ranidae
Description: tRNA-Val
Source: RNAcentral
CAAAAGCCCAUCGCUUACACCGAAGAGUUAUCUGUUUAACCCAGAUCAUUUUGA